Molecule: long non-coding RNA, 432 nt
Organism: Alligator mississippiensis (American alligator)
Lineage: Eukaryota; Metazoa; Chordata; Crocodylia; Alligatoridae
Exons: 2
Source: RefSeq, a predicted model, not a curated record
GCCGUUUCCCCUAUUUAUUUACACCAGUGGUUCUUACCUUUUUGGACUCUAUUUAGAAAAAUAAUAGAGCAGCUCUUCUCUUGCAGAGGACUCAAAAAUACCACAACAGAUGAACAAAAUGAAACGAAGAGAUAGGAUGAGGGAUGACUUACCUAAGACACAGGCACCGCCUGGCCAGACAGAUGUGGGGAGGAAGCUUGCACAUGCUGCCAACAUCUACCACCCCACACUGCCAACACUCCGCAUCUGGUCACGUGCCACCCCCUCCCCCCCACUCCGUGCCCAGUCGCCGGGGGUACACUUGUUUACAAAAGGUUGAAAACGCCUGAUCUAAGAUAUCACACUGAAGUAAUGGCAGAACAGCAGACAAUGGGAGGGUGGUUUGGUGUAUUGGCCACUCUUCUGGGAAUUGAGAGACCUUUUUUUUUUUUU